Molecule: ribosomal RNA, 664 nt
Filed under: Staphylococcus sp.
Lineage: Bacteria; Bacillati; Bacillota; Bacilli; Caryophanales; Staphylococcaceae
Description: bacterial SSU rRNA
Rfam family: Bacterial small subunit ribosomal RNA
Source: RNAcentral
GGACCCGCGCCGUAUUAGCUAGUUGGUAAGGUAACGGCUUACCAAGGCGACGAUACGUAGCCGACCUGAGAGGGUGAUCGGCCACACUGGAACUGAGACACGGUCCAGACUCCUACGGGAGGCAGCAGUAGGGAAUCUUCCGCAAUGGGCGAAAGCCUGACGGAGCAACGCCGCGUGAGUGAUGAAGGUCUUCGGAUCGUAAAACUCUGUUAUUAGGGAAGAACAUACGUGUAAGUAACUGUGCACGUCUUGACGGUACCUAAUCAGAAAGCCACGGCUAACUACGUGCCAGCAGCCGCGGUAAUACGUAGGUGGCAAGCGUUAUCCGGAAUUAUUGGGCGUAAAGCGCGCGUAGGCGGUUUUUUAAGUCUGAUGUGAAAGCCCACGGCUCAACCGUGGAGGGUCAUUGGAAACUGGAAAACUUGAGUGCAGAAGAGGAAAGUGGAAUUCCAUGUGUAGCGGUGAAAUGCGCAGAGAUAUGGAGGAACACCAGUGGCGAAGGCGACUUUCUGGUCUGCAACUGACGCUGAUGUGCGAAAGCGUGGGGAUCAAACAGGAUUAGAUACCCUGGUAGUCCACGCCGUAAACGAUGAGUGCUAAGUGUUAGGGGGUUUCCGCCCCUUAGUGCUGCAGCUAACGCAUUAAGCACUCCGCCUGGGGAGUA